RNAcentral lists this transfer RNA (75 nucleotides) under Mycoplasmataceae bacterium. Its description in RNAcentral is "tRNA-Asp". It matches the Rfam family "tRNA". From Rfam's summary of the family: Transfer RNA (tRNA) molecules are approximately 80 nucleotides in length. The record is from RNAcentral. Lineage: Bacteria; Bacillati; Mycoplasmatota; Mollicutes; Mycoplasmatales; Mycoplasmataceae.
GGUCCCAUGGUAUAGCGAUUAUUAUGUCCCCCUGUCACGGGGACGAUAGGGGUUUAACUCCCCUUGGGACCGCCA